AUUUUUUAUUUUCAAAAAGUCUAACAGAUUCAUGGCUCAUGGCUAAGAGGAUGAGGUAAAUUCACGACAAUACUGAGAGAGAUUGUAAUAUUCUUCUAUUACAUCAGAAGAUUUUUUCCACUCACCUGAUUUCUAUCACUUAGCUUCCUCAUUUCCUUUUCUGCGGGAGGCCAACAGGUGGCUAUAAUGAAGCAAAAAUGUUAAUGGCUCAAACGAUUGGGUAAGCAACUUUAAGGGGUCUUCAAGGAUGCUAUCGUCUAGCUUCUGGUAGAGCCAUUAACGAGACAAAACACACGAACCAGAGAGCAGAUGUUACACCAAAGGUAAAUUAUGACAUCACAUAUGCUACAUUUGUUGAUACAGAGUAGCAGAGAGGAGAGAUAAUGUUGUCUAUAUUCAGCUCUAGGAUGGAGGGAUUUGACGAGCGAGAAAAGGCACUUCCACCACUGUACCCUCAACAUCAUCACCAAUAAUUACACUGUCUCCCUCAGAAGCAGCUUUCCUCUUAAUAUAGCCAAGACCGAGGGGCUGAGAUGCUCGUUUACCAGUUGUGAAACUCGUCACCUUGCCAACCUUUUUCCCAUUAACUGAGAUAGUGCUACCAGGUUCCACAGGCGAUGAGACACGUAUUCCCCAUAGUCUCUGCUUGAUGCCAUCGUAAGUUACAAGUCUAGCAAUGGUUUCUUGGCCCUUAUAGCACCCUUUAUUCAGAGAAACAGCAUUCCACAGAUUAGCCUCCAGAACAUUAAACUCGUCUGUGAGCUCUUUACCAGGAGCUGGUCUUCCUUGAAGAAUCCUUAAAGUUUCCCAUGCAUUAGAACCCAUUGGGACAGCACCAUGACCUAGAAUAGCUUUCCAGACCGAUUCAGCAGCAGCUGGAGACAUCAGUAGUAAAUAACCUUCUUCAGAGAUGAUAUUUCCCACUCCCACAGUUAUUGGCAUUCCAUUUACAUUGUAAUGCUUAUGCGAUCCAUAUGGUUGUCCAACUAUGUCAGCAAGACUCAGAGCCUCCAUUAUUUUGUUACUUGUAGGCCCUACUAGUAAGAACAAGGACGUUUUCUCGGUAAUAUCUUGAAUUUCAACUUUGUCUGCAAAGAAUAUGUACUUCUCAAGCAUAUGAGUUAUUCUUUCCCUGGUCACUGGAGAGACCACUAAUGUGAUUGCCGUUUUCAUAACCCAGGCAUGGGCAAUAUCGAUGGUUCUAGCAGUUGGUGUCACAAAAACAGUGUCACAUCCCUGCCCCUCAUGAAGAAUUUCAAAGUUAGCAGUACUUUGGUUGUGAAGAAACUGAACCCUGUCUUCUCCACUAACUCUUAUCCUGCCAUAGUGUGAAAGAUCCACAACCGCAACACCAUUCUCAACAGCAUCUAAUGCCUCCUCGUCAUUAUCGAAUGUCCCUAUUACCCCAUCUUCUGAUACCUUUGCCCCAGCAAUUGUCAUAGUAUCGAGGAGGUCGUGGUCGAUGGGAGGAGGAGAAAGAUCGAAUGGCAGCGCAGCAGAAGAAAAAGAAGAAGAAAGGCGUCGAUUAAUCUUCGCCGGCGACACAUCGUAUGGCCGGUAAGGUAGUGGCAUAAGUAGGGAUGAUGAAGAAGAAAAAGGAAGAGAGGGAAAUAACAAAUUUGCAGAGUAGAGAGACG
RNAcentral lists this unclassified non-coding RNA (1637 nucleotides) under Hevea brasiliensis (rubber tree). The record is from RNAcentral. Lineage: Eukaryota; Viridiplantae; Streptophyta; Magnoliopsida; Malpighiales; Euphorbiaceae.